CCUACGGGUGGCAGCAGUGGGGAAUAUUGCGCAAUGGGCGCAAGCCUGAUCCAGCAACGCCGCGUGAAGGAAGAAGGGUUUCGGGUUGUAAACUUCUUUUCUCAGGGACGAAGCAAGUGACGGUACCUGAGGAAUAAGCCGCCGCUAACUACGUGCCCGCCGCCGCGGUAAUGCGUAGGUGGCAAGCGUUAUCCGGAUUUACUGGGUGUAAGGGGCGUGGAGGGGGGAAAGCAAGUCAGAUGUGAAAACCAUGGGCUCAACCUGUGGCCUGCAUUUGAAACUGUGUUGCUUGAGUACUGGAGAGGCAGGCGGAAUUCCUAGUGUAGCGGUGAAAUGCGUAGAUAUUAGGAGGAACACCAGUGGCGAAGGCGGUCUGCUGGACAGCAACUGACGCUGAGGCGCGAAAGCGUGGGGAGCAAACAGGAUUAGAUACCCUAGUAGUC
Molecule: ribosomal RNA, 443 nt
Filed under: uncultured bacterium
Lineage: Bacteria
Description: partial 16S ribosomal RNA
Rfam family: Bacterial small subunit ribosomal RNA
Source: RNAcentral